Molecule: ribosomal RNA, 873 nt
Filed under: Paraphysomonas imperforata
Lineage: Eukaryota; Chrysophyceae; Chromulinales; Paraphysomonadaceae
Description: partial Bacterial large subunit ribosomal RNA
Rfam family: Bacterial large subunit ribosomal RNA
Source: RNAcentral
GUUAAGUGACUAAGCGUAUACGGUGGAUGCCUUGGCAGUUAGAGGCGAUGAAGGACGUGUAAGUCUGCGAAAAGCUGUGGUGAGCCGACAAAAUGCAUUUGAGCCACAGAUGUCCGAAUGGGGAAACCCACCUGUUUACAGGUAUCGUUACAUGAAUACAUAGUGUAACGAGGCGAACGAGGGGAACUGAAACAUCUAAGUACCCUUAGGAAAAGAAAUCAACCGAGAUUCCCCUAGUAGCGGCGAGCGAACGGGGAGCAGCCCUUAAGCUGUAUAGAGUGUAGUGGAAUCCUUUGGGAAGAGGAGCGAUACAGGGUGAUAGCCCCGUACACGACGCAAUCUUUACAGUGAAAUCGAGUAGGUCGGGACACGUGUUAUCUUGACUGAAUAUGGGGGGACCAUCCUCCAAGGCUAAAUACUCCUAACUGACCGAUAGUGAACCAGUACCGUGAGGGAAAGGCGAAAAGAACCCCUGUGAGGGGAGUGAAAUAGAACCUGAAACCGUAUACGUACAAGCAGUGGGAGCACCUUCGUGGUGUGACUGCGUACCUUUUGUAUAAUGGGUCAACGACUUAGUGUUGUAUGCAAGCUUAAACCGUUAGGUGUAGGCGCAGCGAAAGCGAGUCUUAAUAGGGCGCAUGAGUUCGUGGGAUCAGACCCGAAACCGAGUGAUCUAGGCAUGGCCAGGUUGAAGGUGCGGUAACACGCACUGGAGGACCGAACCCACAUCUGUUGAAAAAGAUCGGGAUGAGCUGUGCCUAGGGGUGAAAGGCCAAUCAAACUCGGAGAUAGCUGGUUCUCUGCGAAAUCUAUUUAGGUAGAGCGUCAUCCGAAUACCCCCGGGGGUAGAGCACUGGAUGGGUAAUGGGGCCC